RNAcentral lists this ribosomal RNA (468 nucleotides) under uncultured bacterium. RNAcentral's name for it is "partial 16S ribosomal RNA". It matches the Rfam family "Bacterial small subunit ribosomal RNA", at positions 28 to 507 of the family's 1533-position model. The record is from RNAcentral.
GACGAACGCUGGCGGCGUGCUUAACACAUGCAAGUCGAACGGAAAGGCCCUGCUUUUGUGGGGUGCUCGAGUGGCGAACGGGUGAGUAUCACGUGAGUAACCUGCCCUUUACUUUGGGAUAACUUCAGUAAACUGGGGCUCAUACCGGAUAUGAGCUCCUUCUGCAUGGUUUGUGUUGUAAAGUUUCGGCGGUUGGGGAUGGACUCGCGGCUUAUCAGCUUGUUGGUGGGGUAGUGGCUUACCAAGGCUUUGACGGGUAGCCGGCCUGCGAGGGUGACCGGCCACAUUGGGACUGAGAUACGGCCCAGACUGCUACGGGAGGAAGCAGUGGGGAAUAGUGCAAAAAGGGCGGAAGCAGGAAGCAGGAACGUCGCGUGCGGGAUGACGGCCGGCGGGUUGGAAACCGCGUGAGAGUGGGACGAAGAGUGAGUGACGGUAAUGGGUAAAGAAGCAACGGCUAACUACGUG